Non-coding RNA from Elaeis guineensis (African oil palm), 650 nucleotides. The record is from RefSeq and is a predicted model, not a curated record. Lineage: Eukaryota; Viridiplantae; Streptophyta; Magnoliopsida; Arecales; Arecaceae.
CUCUGAGACGCUCAAAAGAGAUGGGGAUGGAGUCGUUGUUAUCUCUCGUGAUGGUGGUGUUCUAUGGUCUACUCUUUUGUCCGGGCUGGUGCGAGACCUAUCAUCAUGUCUUCUAUGUUGGCUUGAAGAUGCUGCUCUUUUUGCUGCAAUUGACCGGAGUGUUGAUAAAUUCUCCUGGUAUGGCUGGCCUGAACCUUUAAAAAAUCGCCACCACCUUUGCGCCUUGGAAGACAUAUAUCAAAACCACAAGGAUUUUACAGACAUAUUUUAUUGCUCAACAAUUUUUAUUUCAAAGGCAAGGGCAAAGAGUUCGCAGGUAUGCUAAGAAGUUGGGAAUCAAGAUUAUGGGUGACAUGCCUAUUUAUGUCGGCUGUCACAGUGCUGAUGUUUGGGCAAACAAAAAAUUAUUUUUGCUGGAUAGGAGUGGCUUUCCAAUUCUUGUUGGUGGUGUUCCUCCUGAUGCCUUCAGUGAAACAGAUCAGCUAUGGGAUAGGUUGAAACUCAUGGACCAAAAGUUGCUUCAGUAUUUUUCAUUUUCUUAGACUAAUAGCUCAAAUAAAUAGGACAGCCUCCAUUGUGGAAGGCAUUAAGCUCUAUCUUGGGAGCAUGUCAAGCACAGCUAUGAACAAAACCUCCUGUCAUUUUUAUCA